UUGGAGGGCAAGUCUGGUGCCAGCAGCCGCGGUAAUUCCAGCUCCAAUAGCGUAUAUUAAAGUUGUUGCAGUUAAAAAGCUCGUAGUUGAAUUUCGGGGUCAAUAAGUCGGUCGUGCCAAUGGUAUGUACUGGCUUUAUUGAUUCCUACCUCUUGACGAACUGUGAUGCCAUUAAUUUGGUGUUGCAGGAAAUCAGGACUGUUACCUUGAAAAAAUUAGAGUGUUUAAAGCAGGCUUACGCUUGAAUACAUUAGCAUGGAAUAAUGAAAUAGGACGUUUGAACCUAUUUUGUUGGUUUCUAGGAUCGACGUAAUGAUUAAUAGGGAUAGUUGGGGGCAUUAGUAUUCAAUUGUCAGAGGUGAAAUUCUUGGGUUUAUUGAAGACUAACUACUGCGAAAGCAUUUGCCAAGGAUGUUUUCAUUAAUCAAGAACGAAAGUUAGGGGAUCGAAGACGAUCAGAUACCGUCGUAGUCUUAACCAUAAACUAUGCCGACUAGGGAUCGGAUGAUGUUAAUUUUUUAAUGACUCAUUCGGCGCCUUACGGGAAAC
RNAcentral lists this ribosomal RNA (549 nucleotides) under uncultured Glomus. RNAcentral's name for it is "SSU rRNA". It matches the Rfam family "Eukaryotic small subunit ribosomal RNA", at positions 548 to 1098 of the family's 1831-position model. Lineage: Eukaryota; Fungi; Glomeromycota; Glomeromycetes; Glomerales; Glomeraceae. The record is from RNAcentral.